CCUACGGGCGGCAGCAGUGGGGAAUAUUGGGCAAUGGAGGCAACUCUGACCCAGCAACGCCGCGUGAGCGAUGAAGGUCUUCGGAUUUUAAAGCUCUGUCUCAGGGGACGUAGUAUGACGGUACCCUGUAAGAAAGCCCCUGCAAACUACGUGCCAGCAGCCGCGGUAAUACGGAGGGGGCUAGCGUUUUCCGGAAUUACUGGGCGUAAAGGGAGUUUAGACGGAUUGUCAAGUUAAGUGUGAAAGCUUGCGGCUUAACCGCAGAAUUGCACGUAAAACUGACUCUCUAGAGUGCAGGAGAGGUGAGUGGAAUUCGUAGUGUAGCGGUGGAAUGCGUAGAUAUUAGGAGGAACACC
This 356-nucleotide ribosomal RNA is filed under the name uncultured bacterium. Its description in RNAcentral is "partial 16S ribosomal RNA". It matches the Rfam family "Bacterial small subunit ribosomal RNA", at positions 338 to 710 of the family's 1533-position model. The record is from RNAcentral.